AACUUUCGGCAACGGAUCUCUUGGUUCUGGCAUCGAUGAAGAACGCAGCGAGAUGCGAUAAGUAAUGUGAAUUGCAGAAUUCAGUGAAUCAUCGAAUCUCUGAACGCACAUUGCACCCUCUGGCAUUCCGGGGGGUAUGCCUGUUCGAGCGUCAUUACAACCCUCAAGCCUUGCUUGGUGUUGGGUGCCACCUGUCACAGGGUGCACCUCAAAAUCAGUGGCGGUGCGGCCUGGCUUCAAGCGUAGUAACUCUUCUCGCUCCGGAGCCCAGGCGGCAUACCUGCCACCAACCUCAAACACAUCAAAGGUUGACCUCGGAUCAGGUAGGGAUACCCGCUGAACUUAAGCAUAUCAAUAAGCGGAGGCU
This 367-nucleotide unclassified non-coding RNA is filed under the name uncultured Microglossum. Its description in RNAcentral is "sequence contains ITS2". The stretch from base 1 to 154 matches the Rfam family "5.8S ribosomal RNA". The record is from RNAcentral. Lineage: Eukaryota; Fungi; Ascomycota; Leotiomycetes; Myxotrichaceae.